RNAcentral lists this long non-coding RNA (3494 nucleotides) under Marmota monax (woodchuck). Lineage: Eukaryota; Metazoa; Chordata; Mammalia; Rodentia; Sciuridae. The record is from RNAcentral.
AUUACUCCGAAAAAAAGAAAAAAAUGGAUUGAAACAACAGAGCCUCAGAGAAAUGUGUUACAGUAGUAAUUUCAUCAGCAUAUUCAUAACAGACGAAAGAGGGGAGAGAAGUGAGCAGGAAAAAAAUAUUAAAUUAAGUAAUAUCUGAAAACAUCCCAUAGUUUUUAAAAAGAAGUAAUCAUAUUUAGGAAACUCAUUGAACUCAAAGUGGGAUAGAUGCAUAGAGAUCCACAAAUAGUUACUUCUUAAUAAUAGCUAAUUGCCAAAGACAAGGAAAAAGUCUUGAUGCGAGCAGCUAGAGAUAAAUGCAUCAUCAUUUAGAAGAGAAUCCCAGUAAGAUUUAUGGCUAAGUUUUCAGCAGAAACAAUGGAGGGAAGACAUCAGUGGGAUAACAUUCAGAGUGCUCAAAGAAACUAUCAGUCGACCUAUUUUUUAGUCAUGCCUUGGAGAUAUUAUGGGUUCAGUUCUAGACCACUAUAGAAAAGAAUUCCACGAUAAUGUUAGUCACAGAAAUAUUUUAGUUUCCCAGUGCAUAUAAAGUUAUGUUUACACUGCACUAUAGUCUAUUAAAAAGUGUGCAAUAGCAUUUGUCUAAAGAAGAAGAAAACAAUGUGUAUACCUUAAUUUUAAAAUAUUUCCUUGCUAAAAAAUGCUAAUAGUCAUGAGCCUUCAAUGAGUUGUAUUCUUUUUGCUGGUAAGUACCAUAUCUUCAGUGUUGAUGGCAGCUUGACUGAACAGAAUGGUGAUAGUUCAAGAUUUAGGGUGGUUGUGGCAGUUUAUCUUAAACAAUGAGGCUUGCCAGAAAUAGUCUCCACAGACUAUUCCUCUGUAGCAUGUCAUACAGUUACAGAGCAUUUUACCCACACUAGAAUUUAUUUCAGAAUUGGAACCAAAUUUCUCAAAUCUUGCUUCUGUUUUGUCAAUUGAAUUUUUGUAAUAUUUUAUAUUACUUCUUAUCCUUUGAGAAAUAUUCACAGCAUCUUUAUCAGGAUUAGAUUCUAUAUCAGGAAACUACUUUCUUUGCUUAUCCAUAAGAAGCAACUCCUAUUAGUUAAAGUUUUAUCAUGAGAUUGAGGUAAUACAGUGACUUCUUCAGGAUCCACUUCUAUUUUUCUUGCUAUUUCUACCCCAUCUUCAGUUACUUCCUCCACAGAAGUCUUGAACUCCUCAAAGUCGUCCAUGAGAAUUGGAAUCCCCUGCUUCCAAACUCCAGUUAUUGUUGAUAUUUUGAUCUCCUCCUGAGAUUCACAAAUGUUCUUAAUGCCAUCUAGAAUGGUGAAUCUUUUCCAAAAGACUUUCAGUUUACUUUGCCCAGAUAAGUCAGAGAAAUCUUUUUCUAUGGCAGCUAUAGUCUUAUAAAAUGUAUUAUUGAACAAUAACAUUUGAAAGUAGAAAUUACUCCUUGUUCCAUGGGUUGCAAAAUGGAUAUUGUUAACAGCUGUGAAAAACAACAUUAUAAUCUCAUUUUAUAUCUCCAUCAGAGCUUUUUAGGUGACAAGGUAUCUUGUCAGUGAGGAAUAACAUUUUGAAAGUGAGCUUUUUUCUGAACGGUCAGUCUCAACAGUGAGCGUAACAUAUUCCAUAACCAGAUUCUAAACAGUUGUGUGGUCACCCAGGCUUUGCUACAUUUGUGGGGUAUAGGGAGAGUAGAUUAAGUGAUAUUUAUAGGACCCUAGGAUUUUCAGAAUGGUAAAUGAGCAUUGGCUUCAACUUAAAGUCACCAGAUGCAUUAUUCCCUAACUAGAGAGCUAGCCUGUCCUUUGAAACUUUCUUGCUAGAGAUUAAUUAAUUCCUCUUUACCCAGGAAAAUUCUAGAUGGCAGCUUCUUUUCCAGUGUAAGGCUGCUUUGUCUUCACUAAAAACCUUUUGUGUAGUAUAGCUACCUUUAUCAAUUAUCUUAGGCAUAUCUUCUGGAUAAUUUCUGCAGCUUCUACAUUAGCACUUGCUGCUUCACCCAGUGCUUAUAUGUUAUAAAGAUAGUUUCUUAAACUUCAUGAUCAAACCUCUGGUAGCUUCACAUUCAGUUCUGUAGUUUCCUAACCCCUCUCUUUUUAUAAAAUUUUUUCUUCUAAUUUUUUUUUUUUAAGUAGUCAGUGGACUUUUAUUUAUUUAUAUGCAGUGCUGAGAAUUGAACCCAGAUUCUCACACGUGCUAGACAAGCACUCUACCACUGAGCCACAACCCAAGCCCCUAACUCCUCUUAACCUUCAGAGAAUUGGAGUUUCCUUUGGAUUAUAUUUUUGUUUAAGAGAGUAUUGUGACUGGUUUGAUCAUCUAUCUAGAUCAAUAAAACUUUUUUUAUCAGCAAUAAAACUGUUAUUGUUCUUUUUUAUUGGUAUGUUUAUUGGAGUGGCAUUUUUAAUUUCCUUUCCUUCCUUUGGCUGUUUGUCAAAGAAGCCUAGCUUUUAGUCUCUCUGCUUUUGAAAUACCUUCCUCACUAAGCUUAAUCAGUUCUAGCUUUUGAUUUAAAGUGAGAAACUUGCCUGGCUUUUGUUCAGUUAAACUCUUAGAAGCCACUGUAGUGUUAUUAAUUGGCCUAAUUUCAGUAUUGUUUUGUCUCAGGGAAAAGAAAGGCCCAAGGAGAGGGAGGCAAUGGGGAACAGCUGGUAGAUGGAACAUUCAGAAUUCAUGCAGCAUUUCUCAGGUUUGCUGUCUUAUAUGGGUGUGGUUCAUGGUACCCCAAAACAAUUAAAGUAGUAAGAUACAGAUCACCAUAAGAGAUAUAAUUGUAAUAACAAAUUUGAAGUAUUGUGAGACAUAUGUGACAACAUGCUGUUAAAAAAAUGGUAUGCAUAAACUUGCUGUAGUCAGUGAAACCAUGAGCCUUCAGUUUGAAAAAACAAAAAACACAAUGUCUGUGAAGUGCAGUAAAGUUAGGUAUGUCUCUGUUCAAAACUGAAGGUUAAAUAAGACACUGAGAUAAAGAAAAAUUUAGAAAAUUUAUUGCUAGUAAACCUGUCUUACAAGAUACUAAAGGAAGUUCUUUUGGCAAGUGACUUGAAUUGGUAAUUUUUAAAAAAAGUUUUUAGUUGUUGAUGGACCUUUAUUUUUUAUUUAUGUAUAUGUGGUGCUGAGAAUUGAACCCAGUGCCUCACACAUGCUAGGCAAGCACUCUACCACUGAGCCAAAAUCCCAGCCCCCAAAUGGUAAUUUUAAUCCACACAAAAUAUGUAUUUAGGUGUACAUAUACUGUCUUAUAUUAUAAUAAAAGACAGUAUACAUACAUUUCUUUCUUCCCUUUUGCAUUAUAUAUGUGUAUGUAUCUCUGUGCAUAACAUGCUUAGAUACAUUGUUGCAAUAUAUUUGCCAAUAACAGGAAAAAAAGAGUUAGGUGAACUCCAUUAGGACUGGGGAAAUGACUGUAUGCUAACUCAGAUACACAAGAACAAAUGAAGAGAACCAGAAAUGAUAAAUAACAAAAGCCAUAAUUAUGUAUUUGGUCUCCUUUCAACUUUAAAAGUGUUUAUAGAAUUAAUGGUAAUUAUAGUGUGUUG